GACGAACCGUGCGAACGUUGUUCGGAAUAACUGGGCUUAAAGGGUGCGUAGGCGGGUCCGCAAGUCUGUGGUGAAAACCUCCCGCUCAACGGGAGAACUGCCGUGGAUACUGCGGACCUCGAGGAAGAUAGGGGCGUGCGGAACAGUUGGUGGAGCGGUGAAAUGCGUUGAUAUCAACUGGAAAUCCGGUGGCGACGGCGGCACGCUGGGUCUUUUCUGGCGCUGAGGCACGAAAGCUAGGGGAGCAAACGUG
This 253-nucleotide ribosomal RNA is filed under the name uncultured bacterium. RNAcentral describes it as "partial 16S ribosomal RNA". It matches the Rfam family "Bacterial small subunit ribosomal RNA", at positions 524 to 776 of the family's 1533-position model. The record is from RNAcentral.